GAUGAACGCUAGCUACAGGCUUAACACAUGCAAGUCGAGGGGAAACGACAUUGAAGCUUGCUUCGAUGGUCGUCGACCGGCGCACGGGUGAGUAACGCGUAUCCAACCUGCCUCUGACCAAGGGAUAACCCGUCGAAAGUCGGCCUAAUACCUUAUGCAGUCGUCGGAAGUCAUCUGAUGACGACGAAAGAUUUCAUCGGUGAGAGAUGGGGAUGCGUCUGAUUAGCUUGUUGGCGGGGUAACGGCCCACCAAGGCAACGAUCAGUAGGGGUUCUGAGAGGAAGGUCCCCCACAUUGGAGCUGAGACACGGUCCAAACUCCUACGGGAGGCAGCAGUGAGGAAUAUUGGUCAAUGGGCGAGAGCCUGAACCAGCCAAGUAGCGUGCAGGAUGACGGCCCUAUGGGUUGUAAACUGCUUUUAUGCGGGGAUAAAGUGAGGGACGUGUCCUUCAUUGCAGGUACCGCAUGAAUAAGGACCGGCUAAUUCCGUG
Molecule: ribosomal RNA, 491 nt
Filed under: uncultured bacterium
Lineage: Bacteria
Description: partial 16S ribosomal RNA
Rfam family: Bacterial small subunit ribosomal RNA
Source: RNAcentral